This 470-nucleotide ribosomal RNA is filed under the name uncultured bacterium. RNAcentral's name for it is "bacterial SSU rRNA". It matches the Rfam family "Bacterial small subunit ribosomal RNA", at positions 29 to 526 of the family's 1533-position model. The record is from RNAcentral.
AAUGAACGUUGGCGGCGUGGAUUAGGCAUGCAAGUCGAGCGACAAGGUCCUUUCGGGGACUGGAGGAGCGGCAAACGGGGUAGUAAGGCAUCGGAACGUACCCUCAUGUCAGGGAUAGCCGCGGGAAACUGCGAUUAAUACCUGAUGAUCUCGUGAGAGCAAAGGUCCGCCGCAUGAGGAGCGGCCGAUGUGAUAUCAGCUAGUUGGUAAGGUAACGGCUUACCAAGGCAUAGACGUCUAGGGGGUGUGAGAGCACGACCCCCACCACUGGGACUGAGACACUGCCCAGACACCUACGGGUGGCUGCAGUCGAGAAUCUUCGGCAAUGGGCGCAAGCCUGACCGAGCGACGCCGCGUGCGGGAUGAAGGCCCUUGGGUUGUAAACCGCUGUCAGGGGGGAUGAAACCGUAAGGUUGACAGAGCCCCAGAGGAAGCACGGGCUAAGUUCGUGCCAGCAGCCGCGGUAACAC